AGCAGCCGCGGUAAUUCCAGCUCCAAUAGCGUAUAUUAAAGUUGUUGCAGUUAAAAAGCUCGUAGUUGAAUUUCGGGAUUAGCAAGUUGGUCGUGCCUUCGGUAUGCACUGGCUUUGCUGAUUCCUCCUUCUUGAAGAACUGUAAUGCUAUUAAUUUAGUGUUGCAGGGAAACAGGACUGUUACUUUGAAAAAUUAGAGUGUUUAAAGCAGGCUAACGCUUGAAUACAUUAGCAUGGAAUAAUGAAAUAGGACGUUUGAUCCUAUUUUGUUGGUUUCUAGGAUUGACGUAAUGAUUAAUAGGGAUAGUUGGGGGCAUUAGUAUUCAAUUGUCAGAGGUGAAAUUCUUGGAUUUAUUGAAGACUAACUACUGCGAAAGCAUUUGCCAAGGAUGUUUUCAUUAAUCAAGAACGAAAGUUAGGGGAUCGAAGACGAUCAGAUACCGUCGUAGUCUUAACCAUAAACUAUGCCGACUAGGGAUCGGAUGAUGUUAAUUUUUAAUGACUCAUUCGGCGCCUUAAC
Molecule: ribosomal RNA, 520 nt
Filed under: uncultured Glomus
Lineage: Eukaryota; Fungi; Glomeromycota; Glomeromycetes; Glomerales; Glomeraceae
Description: SSU rRNA
Rfam family: Eukaryotic small subunit ribosomal RNA
Source: RNAcentral